AUUCUACUGACGAGUUCCAAAUAGUACGAAAUGCACGUCCUAGAU
This 45-nucleotide non-coding RNA is filed under the name Schistosoma margrebowiei. Lineage: Eukaryota; Metazoa; Platyhelminthes; Trematoda; Strigeidida; Schistosomatidae. The record is from RNAcentral.